Magallana angulata is the source of this 1579-nucleotide long non-coding RNA. RefSeq lists it as uncharacterized. Lineage: Eukaryota; Metazoa; Mollusca; Bivalvia; Ostreida; Ostreidae. The transcript is spliced from 2 exons. The record is from RefSeq and is a predicted model, not a curated record.
UCCAUGUCUGAUUAUAAAUAUUCGGACUUGGUUAGAAAAGAUCAGUCCUCAAAUCAUCAUCAUUGAGGAAGAGCAUACUCUCCAGCCAUCCUGAAACCUUAAAGAUAUACAAUCACAGACUGUAGAACAACUUCUCCCGUCAGAGACUGUGUUGUCUGGUGUACUUGUUGCUUGGAACGAUAACUAUACUUUUACACUAUUAUUGGACUUUGUAACCGAGAUAACUUUCUUACCUGAUUUGUAUUAACUUUAUCGUUUGCUUCGUAACCUUAUUAAAGUUAUUUGAACUUAGUACUCUGUUUCCUUUGUGCUGUGUUACAGAGUCAAUAUGGUGCCAUGACCAGGAUAAGCUGUUCUUGCUAGCGAACGGGUUCAGUCGCCGAGGAACACAUCUUACGUUCUCUUUCUUAACAAGCGUUGGUCGGGUAAAUUGUGGCAGAGACAACGGGGUCUAAAGAUAGAGGACAAAAAGGGUGAUCCUUUGGUGACGAUUAACUCGGUUGGCGAUAAAGACGCUGGCAGGAACAUCAAUCCUUCUGCAACAAUGGAGACUACUGUUUACAGUACAGGGACAGAGGAACCGGAUGCAAUACGUAAUGUACCCAUUAAUUAUUGGGAAUCCGGAAAAGAGCAAAAGUGAAAAUUAUAUUUCAUGAACUUUGAAGUAUUGUCACUACCGUGAACUUGAACAUUGUGUACAUACGUUGAUUAUAAUUUAUUACGGGAGAUGGGACCAAUUGUCGUUUUAUUCGUAUUCAAUAUAGACUUUCUUUUGUGGUGAUGGAACAAUUUUAUUACGUCGUCUAAUGUGUAAACGUGUAAAAACUUUUAAUUCUAUAGACAUUUAUGGUGAGAGGAUUAUGGACUUUUCAUUCUGCAGUUGCAGAAUUUAUGAAUUAAACUUAAUUCAUCUUAAGCAAGGGAGGAAUGUAACACAAUUAGCUACAACAAAUUGUGUUAUUAUUAUUAUCCUUGUUUAUUUUUCACGUAUCUAUUUUACACUUGUCUGCAUGGACAUUAAUUAAUACCUGUACAGAGAAGCACCCUAGCCCCAGGCACUCGACUAGAGCCGUGCUUGCUCAUGCGGACACGGACCGUUACUUGUACAUCAGUAUACGACGCCUCGAGGGAUAUGGUCACCGACUUUACCUUCUACGCUGGAGUGACGGGUGGAUGCACCAACACCUGAUGACAACUCAGGGACAUUUUGACCAAUACCGUGGAGAUCAUGCAUCAUCUAUGACAAGACCAUCGAGUAAUGAUUGAAUGUUCUAUCAUCUUAAGACAUCCAUGUCUGAUUAUAAAUAUUCGGACUUGGUUAGAAAAGAUCAGUCCUCAAAUCAUCAUCAUUGAGGAAGAGCAUACUCUCCAGCCAUCCUGAAACCUUAAAGAUAUACAAUCACAGACUGUAGAACAACUUCUCCCGUCAGAGACUGUGUUGUCUGGUGUACUUGUUGCUUGGAACGAUAACUAUACUUUUACACUAUUAUUGGACUUUGUAACCGAGAUAACUUUCUUACCUGAUUUGUAUUAACUUUAUCUUUUGCUUCGUAACCUUAUUAAAGUUAUUUGAACUUAG